This 564-nucleotide ribosomal RNA is filed under the name Aspergillus flavus. RNAcentral describes it as "eukaryotic LSU rRNA". The stretch from base 209 to 362 matches the Rfam family "5.8S ribosomal RNA". The record is from RNAcentral. Lineage: Eukaryota; Fungi; Ascomycota; Eurotiomycetes; Eurotiales; Aspergillaceae.
GUAGGUGAACUGCGGAAGGAUCAUUACCGAGUGUAGGGUUCCUAGCGAGCCCAACCUCCCACCCGUGUUUACUGUACCUUAGUUGCUUCGGCGGGCCCGCCAUUCGUGGCCGCCGGGGGCUCUCAGCCCCGGGCCCGCGCCCGCCGGAGACACCACGAACUCUGUCUGAUCUAGUGAAGUCUGAGUUGAUUGUAUCGCAAUCAGUUAAAACUUUCAACAAUGGAUCUCUUGGUUCCGGCAUCGAUGAAGAACGCAGCGAAAUGCGAUAACUAGUGUGAAUUGCAGAAUUCCGUGAAUCAUCGAGUCUUUGAACGCACAUUGCGCCCCCUGGUAUUCCGGGGGGCAUGCCUGUCCGAGCGUCAUUGCUGCCCAUCAAGCACGGCUUGUGUGUUGGGUCGUCGUCCCCUCUCCGGGGGGGACGGGCCCCAAAGGCAGCGGCGGCACCGCGUCCGAUCCUCGAGCGUAUGGGGCUUUGUCACCCGCUCUGUAGGCCCGGCCGGCGCUUGCCGAACGCAAAUCAAUCUUUUUCCAGGUUGACCUCGGAUCAGUAGGAUCCCGCUGACU